CGAAAUUGUAGUUUAAAUAAAAUACCAGCAUUGGAAGCUGAAGAAUAGGUUCUAUCCUACAUUUCGA
Molecule: transfer RNA, 67 nt
Filed under: Profundiconus teramachii
Lineage: Eukaryota; Metazoa; Mollusca; Gastropoda; Neogastropoda; Conidae
Description: tRNA-Pro
Source: RNAcentral